AUGGCGCCCUCCACCACAGUCCCUAGGCGGGUAAAGCGCAAGGCGCCUUCCUCAAGCGCACCUUAAAGCAGAAGCGGUACCUAGGUCUGGGGAGGUGCUACGACCUCCUGAUCCAUUUGAAUUGCCUACUUUUUGUUCAGCGAUUGGCAGAAGAGUCCAGGACAAAUGCUUGUGAAAGUAAAUCUAGAGUUAUCAAAAAGGAUCACGUACUGGCUGUAGCAAAGGUAAUUCUGAAGAAGAGCAGAGGUUAG
Molecule: long non-coding RNA, 251 nt
Filed under: Mus musculus (house mouse)
Lineage: Eukaryota; Metazoa; Chordata; Mammalia; Rodentia; Muridae
Description: long non-coding RNA chr12:99245670-99245921
Source: RNAcentral